Molecule: ribosomal RNA, 253 nt
Filed under: uncultured bacterium
Lineage: Bacteria
Description: partial 16S ribosomal RNA
Rfam family: Bacterial small subunit ribosomal RNA
Source: RNAcentral
UACGUAGGUGGCAAGCGUUGUCCGGAUUUAUUGGGUUUAAAGGGUGCGUAGGUGGUUCCAUAAGUCGGUGGUGAAAUACGGCAGCUUAACUGUCGAGGUGCCAUUGAUACUGCGGAACUUGAGUACAGACGAGGUAGGCGGAAUUGACGGUGUAGCGGUGAAAUGCUUAGAUAUCGUCAAGAACACCGAUAGCGAAGACAGCUUACUAGACUGUAACUGACACUGAGGCACGAAAGUGUGGGGAUCAAACAGG